AAAAAAAAUACAAAAAUUAGUCAGGUGUUGUGGUGUACGCCUGUGGUCCCAGCUAAUGGGGAGGCUGAUGUGAGAGGAUUGCCUGAGCCCAGAAGGCAGAGGUUGCAGUGAGCUGAGAUCACACCACUGCACUCCAGCGUGGGUGACAGAGCGACACCCUGUCUCAAAAAAGAAAAAAAAAAAAAGCUUAAUUAAUUAACGGUUUUUCUUCCUAAGGGCUGGGAUCAUACCAGUUUGCUUCACUGCAGUGCCUGAACAUAGUAGGCAUAGUAGAUUCAAUAAAUCUUUGGUUCCUUGGCUGGUUGUUGCCUGCUCUGUGCUGAUGAGAAAGGAGCCAGGCAAGACACAGUAAGCAACAGAUAACCACCAACCAGCCAAUGAACUCAAGAUUUCUUGAAUCUACUGUGCCUAGAAUGUUCAGUCACUGCAGUAAAGGACACUGGUACAAUCCAGCCUGUGGGAAGAAAAGCAAUCAAUUGAGCAAUUACUAUGCAGUGUGAUGAG
RNAcentral lists this long non-coding RNA (504 nucleotides) under Homo sapiens (human). Its description in RNAcentral is "HSALNT0149706". The record is from RNAcentral. Lineage: Eukaryota; Metazoa; Chordata; Mammalia; Primates; Hominidae.